This 237-nucleotide ribosomal RNA is filed under the name uncultured bacterium. RNAcentral describes it as "partial 16S ribosomal RNA". It matches the Rfam family "Bacterial small subunit ribosomal RNA", at positions 533 to 769 of the family's 1533-position model. The record is from RNAcentral.
AGCGAGCGUUGUCCGGAUUUACUGGGUGUAAAGGGUGCGUAGGCAGCUAUGCUAGUCAGAAGUGAAAUCCAUGGGCUUAACCCAUGAACUGCUUUUGAAACUGCGUGGCUUGAGUGGAGUAGAGGUAGGCGGAAUUCCCGGUGUAGCGGUGAAAUGCGUAGAGAUCGGGAGGAACACCAGUGGCGAAGGCGGCCUACUGGGCUCUAACUGACGCUGAGGCACGAAAGCGUGGGUAGC